GUCUACCGCGAUACCACCCUGAACGCUCCCGAUCUCAUCUGAUCUCAGAAGCUAAGCAGGGUGGGGCAUGGUUAGUACUUGGAUGGGAGACU
RNAcentral lists this ribosomal RNA (92 nucleotides) under Panthera tigris altaica (Amur tiger). Lineage: Eukaryota; Metazoa; Chordata; Mammalia; Carnivora; Felidae. The record is from RNAcentral.